RNAcentral lists this long non-coding RNA (1992 nucleotides) under Brassica rapa (field mustard). RNAcentral's name for it is "long non-coding RNA (BRAP_LNC003989)". Lineage: Eukaryota; Viridiplantae; Streptophyta; Magnoliopsida; Brassicales; Brassicaceae. The record is from RNAcentral.
GAUAGAAGAGAUUGAGGUUAAAGGGAGGAUGGGGUUGGGGUUGGGGUUUGGGGUUUCGGAUUUUAGGGAUUUAAACGUAAACAUAGUUAUUUCCUCGUAAAUUAACGAGGAACUUACGACGAUUCUUAAAAAUAAAGAACGCGGCACUCGUUAAUUCCACGUAAGCAGAAAUCGUCGUAAAGACCUCAUAAUAAAAAAACGAUGGCCUCGUUCAUUCCUCGUAAAAAUAAAAGCGGGCCUCGCUAAUUCCUCGUAAAUUAACGACGAUGUAACGAGGAAACGAAACGGGAAUAAAUUGGUUUGCCGUGAUCAAAGUUACACCUCGUGGACAAAUCAUCAGUGGAGAAGAACCACCAUUGCAAGAAGAACAGAUAGAUGAAGUUGAGGUACCUGAACAACAAAUUGAUGACAUCCUUCUCAUUGAUCCGCAUAAUCAUGAGUACGAAGAUAUUACUGACGAUGCCACGGACGAAGCUGUUGAAGACGAGUUUAAUGAAAAUGAUGAUGUUUCUAGUAAUGACGAGAAUGUCGAUGUAUCUGAUUGAUGUAUUUGUGUUUUAAUAUGAUUGAUUUUCAGAUUUAAUGCAUGUGAUUUGAUGGAUUUAAUCAUGGAAAUCUAUUUAUAUAAUUUAAUUUUUGUAAUGGGGUUUGAAUUAGAAAGAAGAGAUUGAGAUUAUUAGUUAAGGAAUUGUGGUUUCAGAAUUUGGGGUUUGGAAUGGAUAGAAGAGAUUGAGGUUAAAGGGAGGAUGGGGUUGGGGUUUGGAAUAUAUGAAGUAGAAGAUAAGGAAGAUAAGGAAGAAGGGGUUUGGGGUUUCGGAUUUUAGGGAUUUAAACAUAAACGUAGUUAUUUCCUCGUAAAUUAACGAGGAACUUACGACGAUUCUUAAAAAUAAAGAACGUGGCACUCGUUAAUUCCACGUAAGCAGAAAUCGUCGUAAAGACCUCGUAAUAAAAAAAUGCGGGCCUCGUUCAUUCCUCGUAAAAAUAAAAGCGGGCCUCGCUAAUUCCUCGUAAAUUAACGACGAUGUUACGAGGAAACGAAACAUGGACCUCGCGAGUUCCUCGUAAAUAAAAACACGGGCCUCACGAGUUCCUCGUAACUUUACGAGGAAUUUACGAUAUUUCAUAAUUUCCUAUAUAUACACGCGAGUUCUCACUUCCCAUUUCGUCUCAACUUCCUCUCCCUUUUGUAGCUAUGGUACGCUCUCUAUUUCCUCUCUAAUUUGAUUAGUUUAGGUAGAUUAGGUGGUUAGUGUAGGAAAUUUAGAUAGUUUUACGGAUUUUAUGUUAAUUAGUGUUGAUUAGGUGGUUAAUGUAGAGAACUUAGUUAGAUUUAUAGAAUUUGUUAAUUAUUGUUGAUGUUAAUUUUAGGCGAAUCAUCAUCCGUCACACAUGCCGACGCGGAUGUAGAGAGGAGGAGUGAGGAAUUCUACCGGGGAUGAACGACCCUUAGUUUUUUUUUUUUUCAAUGGUUGUAUUAUAAAUUCAAAAAUUAUUUAUGUAUAAAUUAUUUUCGUAUUUAAUAUUCUUUUUAAAUUAGAUUUUUAUUAAAUAAUUAAAUACAUUGUUUUUUUUUAAUCUGGAAAAUAUAAACUCAAAGUAAAUUCGUAGCUAAAUUACGACAACCUUACGUGGAAAUUUUACGAGGAAUUAACGAGUAAAAUAUUUACGUCAACACUACGAGGAAAGAUUAACGAGUAUUUGACGUGGAAACAUUUACGUGUUAUUUACGAGGAAAUGUUUUCAAGGUAUUUACGAGGAAAUGUAGCGUCCCCCUUACGUGGAAGGGUUACGUGGUUUUUACGACGAAUACUUUGCUUCGUCUUUACAAGGAAAUGUUUUCUCGUUAGUUUACGACGAAUUAGCAAGGAAAUAUGCGUUACGACGAACAAAUAACGACGAAACGUGUUUCCUCGCUAGUUCCUCGUAAAACUGAUUUUACGACGAACUUACUACGAAUUUCGCCGUCGUUAAUGUUGUGUUUUCUUGUAG